AGUAACUCAAGUCAAGUGGGACAGUGUAAAAGGUGGUUAGACAGUCUGCUUUGUAUUUUUGUUGAAAACAAACGUAAUUUUUGAAAAAAGAAGAUCGACCCGAGGAAAUAGGGGUGCAAUCUUAUGUAUUUCCUUGAGGGAAGGGGCACAUUCUUCUUUAGGCUGAGUCCACGGAACCGGUUAACUGAAGACAUGGAUUAGAUACCCAUUUAUUGCCGAUGUAAACUUUGCUUUUCAGCACGGCUGCUUGGGUACUACGAGCGAGUGCUUAAAACUCAAAGAACUUGGCGGCUUGUUAACUACCUAGGGGAAUAUGCGCCUUAAUCCGAUGAUCCCCGUUAUAUCUCACUGAGCCUUGAAAAAGUGCAGCUGGUGUAUUGCCGUUGUCAGCUUGUUGUUCGAGCAAAGAGAAACAGGCUUAAUGGAUCCUGGUGAUUACUUUCACGGGAAUCCAUGAAUUCAGGUCGUAAUACUGCCUAUGGCUCAAGGGAGCGGGUGUUACAAUUCAUAUUUGGAAUUACGGAUCCUCAUCGUGGAAUCUUGGGGUGAAGGUGAACUUAGGAGUAAGGAUAGAUUAAUAUGCUUUCCUGAACAUGAAUCUAACUCGUGUACAAACUGCCCGUCGCUCUC
RNAcentral lists this ribosomal RNA (630 nucleotides) under Pecten fumatus. Its description in RNAcentral is "partial 12S ribosomal RNA". It matches the Rfam family "Bacterial small subunit ribosomal RNA", at positions 530 to 1404 of the family's 1533-position model. The record is from RNAcentral. Lineage: Eukaryota; Metazoa; Mollusca; Bivalvia; Pectinida; Pectinidae.